Molecule: ribosomal RNA, 738 nt
Filed under: uncultured bacterium
Lineage: Bacteria
Description: bacterial SSU rRNA
Rfam family: Bacterial small subunit ribosomal RNA
Source: RNAcentral
UCGAACGCGAAAGCCCCGCAAGGGGUUAGUAGAGUGGCAAACGGGUGAGUAACACGUGGGUGAUCUGCCUCAGAGUGGGGGAUAACGACCCGAAAGGGUCGCUAAUACCGCAUAACAUCCUGCGCUUGGAUGCGUGGAGAUCAAAGUUGGGGAUUCGCAAGAACCUGACGCUUAGAGAGGAGCCCGCGGCCGAUUAGCUAGUUGGUGAGGUAAUGGCUCACCAAGGCUCCGAUCGGUAUCCGGCCUGAGAGGGCGGACGGACACACUGGGACUGAGACACGGCCCAGACUCCUACGGGAGGCAGCAGUGGGGAAUUGUUCGCAAUGGGCGCAAGCCUGACGACGCAACGCCGCGUGGAGGACGAAGAUUUUCGGAUCGUAAACUCCUUUCGAUCGGGAAGAACAGCUCUCGGGUUAAUAACCUGAGGGUCUGACGGUACCGAGAGAAGAAGCCCCGGCUAACUCCGUGCCAGCAGCCGCGGUAAUACGGGGGGGGCAAGCGUUGUUCGGAAUUACUGGGCGUAAAGGGCUGGUAGGCGGCCAACUAAGUCCGACGUGAAAUCCCAAGGCUUAACCUCGGAACUGCGUCGGAUACUGGAUGGCUUGAAUUCGGGAGAGGGAUGCAGAAUUCCAGGUGUAGCGGUGAAAUGCGUAGAUAUCUGGAGGAAUACCGGUGGCGAAGGCGGCAUCCUGGACCGACAUUGACGCUGAACAGCGAAAGCUAGGGGAGCAAACGGGA